Molecule: long non-coding RNA, 129 nt
Organism: Aquila chrysaetos chrysaetos
Lineage: Eukaryota; Metazoa; Chordata; Aves; Accipitriformes; Accipitridae
Exons: 4
Source: RefSeq, a predicted model, not a curated record
AGUACCUCUCCUCGUUUUCUUUUUGCUGCCCAUCGUGGCACUGGUCCCCAUCUCCAUGUGCCUCCGUAGGUCUGGCUGUCCCAGCUCGAUCUCUCGCCUCACCUUUGCAUCUGGCUGUCACUGCCUGUU